CGGCAGCACGGGAGCUUGCUCCUGGUGGCGAGUGGCGAACGGGUGAGUAAUGUAUCGGAACGUACCCAGUCGUGGGGGAUAACUCUCCGAAAGGAGAGCUAAUACCGCAUACGUCCUGAGGGGGAAAGCGGGGGACCUGCAAAGGCCUCGCGCGAUUGGAGCGGCCGAUAUCGGAUUAGCUAGUUGGCGGGGUAAAGGCCCACCAAGGCGACGAUCCGUAGCGGGUCUGAGAGGACGACCCGCCACACUGGAACUGAGACACGGUCCAGACUCCUACGGGAGGCAGCAGUGGGGAAUUUUGGACAAUGGGGGCAACCCUGAUCCAGCCAUUCCGCGUGAGUGAAGAAGGCCUUCGGGUUGUAAAGCUCUUUCAGCAGGAGCGAAACGGUCGUUUUUAAUACAGACGGCUAAUGACGGUACCUGCAGAAGAAGCACCGGCUAACUACGUGCCAGCAGCCGCGGUAAUACGUAGGGUGCGAGCGUUAAUCGGAAUUACUGGGCGUAAAGCGUGCGCAGGCGGCGACAUAAGACAGAUGUGAAAUCCCCGGGCUCAACCUGGGAACUGCGUUUGUGACUGUGUUGCUAGAGUGUAGCAGAGGGGGGUGGAAUUCCACGUGUAGCAGUGAAAUGCGUAGAUAUGUGGAGGAACACCGAUGGCGAAGGCAGCCCCCUGGGUUAACACUGACGCUCAUGCACGA
RNAcentral lists this ribosomal RNA (698 nucleotides) under uncultured soil bacterium. RNAcentral describes it as "bacterial SSU rRNA". It matches the Rfam family "Bacterial small subunit ribosomal RNA", at positions 67 to 756 of the family's 1533-position model. The record is from RNAcentral.